Molecule: unclassified non-coding RNA, 380 nt
Filed under: soil metagenome
Description: partial contains 5.8S ribosomal RNA, internal transcribed spacer 2, and large subunit ribosomal RNA
Rfam family: 5.8S ribosomal RNA (bases 2-119)
Source: RNAcentral
GUGAAGAACGUAGCGAAAUGCGAUAAGUAAUGUGAAUUGCAGAAUUCAGUGAAUCAUCGAAUCUUUGAACGCACCUUGCGCUCCUUGGUAUUCCGAGGAGCAUGCCUGUUUGAGUGUCAUUAAUAUAUCAACCUCUUCAGCUUAUGCUUGUUGAGUGUUGGAUGGUGGGGGUUUGCUGGUGUCUUAUGAAGUCAGCUCCUCUGAAAUGCAUUAGCGGAACAAUUUGUUGACCGUUCAUUGGUGUGAUAAAAAUAUCUACGCUAUUGACGUCAGUCAGUUCAGCUUCUAACAGUCCAUUGACUUGGACAAAUUUUUCAUUAAUGUGACCUCAAAUCAGGUAGGACUACCCGCUGAACUUAAGCAUAUCAAUAAGCGGAGGA